GCGGGGCGACCGCCGCUGCGGCCCCGCCCCUCCGUUGCUAUGGUAACCCCGGGGCCGAGGCCUCGCCUCCCUGCGCCGUGUCCCCGCCGGCCUCGGCCUGGGGCGGCCCCGAGCCCGGGAGCCGCGGCCGUGCGGCGGAGGCGGGCCGCGGGAUGGCGCGGCCCCGGCCCCGCUGUGAGGCGGGCCGCCCGUUGUCCUCAGCCCGCCGUGCCCCGAGCGCCCUCCCGGCGCACAAGGCCUGUCCCGAGGCGGGAGCCUUCAAGGGGUUCCUGGCUCAAGGAGCUGGGCUUUAGAGGGUGCCGCUUCGGAACCAAGGAGGUGGCAGAGGCAGACCUCACCAGCGAGUCCAAAACAGGCUGACACAAAUGCAUAGCCGAGAGGCCCCCGACAGACACCGACCAGGAAGCAAGCCCUGGCAGCACCCAGGAACGGCUCCAGCCUGGGCGAGGAGGCGGUGUGAGGUGAGCGGAGGGUGGCUGGGCUCACCUGCUCGCUCCACGCAGCACCUGCCAUCCUCCGUGCUGAGACCACAGGUGAGCCAGGCGGGGUGCUGGUGUGAGCGCCGCUCUAACCCCGUGGGACGCUUCUCAGGGCUUUAACCACUGCCAGCGUGGUUCAUUACUCUUGCAAGUUACUUUUGCUUAAGCCUGCACACCCACCGCUGUGUGGAGGGUUUGGUUCAGACCCACAGAUACAGUCCCACAACGUGCCAAACAAGGGAAACCUGGUGAAUUUGGGAAUAAAGCCGGCGGGACCUCAGACAGCACCCUGCUUCUGCACUUGCAACGCGCACCACGGCUCACGUGGCGGCUACUGCGGGUUUCUUCAUUAAAACUCAAAAAGGCGUUUCUGAGGAGCUUU
Non-coding RNA from Phalacrocorax carbo (great cormorant), 861 nucleotides. The record is from RefSeq and is a predicted model, not a curated record. NCBI's taxonomy places the organism in Eukaryota, Metazoa, Chordata, Aves, Suliformes, Phalacrocoracidae.